RNAcentral lists this ribosomal RNA (253 nucleotides) under uncultured bacterium. Its description in RNAcentral is "partial 16S ribosomal RNA". It matches the Rfam family "Bacterial small subunit ribosomal RNA", at positions 524 to 776 of the family's 1533-position model. The record is from RNAcentral.
UACGUAGGGGGCUAGCGUUGUCCGGAAUCAUUGGGCGUAAAGCGCGUGUAGGCGGUUCGGUAAGUCCGCUGUGAAAGUCGGGGGCUCAACCCUCGGAUGCCGGUGGAUACUGUCGGACUAGAGUACGGAAGAGGCGAGUGGAAUUCCUGGUGUAGCGGUGAAAUGCGCAGAUAUCAGGAGGAACACCAAUGGCGAAGGCAGCUCGCUGGGACGGUACUGACGCUGAGACGCGAAAGCGUGGGGAGCAAACAGG